Molecule: ribosomal RNA, 505 nt
Filed under: uncultured bacterium
Lineage: Bacteria
Description: partial 16S ribosomal RNA
Rfam family: Bacterial small subunit ribosomal RNA
Source: RNAcentral
GACGAACGCUGGCGGCGUGCCUAAUACAUGCAAGUCGAACGCACAGUUUAUACCGUAGCUUGCUACACCAUAGACUGUGAGUUGCGAACGGGUGAGUAACGCGUAGGUAACCUGCCUGGUAGCGGGGGAUAACUAUUGGAAACGAUAGCUAAUACCGCAUAAUAUUGAUUAUUGCAUGAUAAUUAAUUGAAAGGUGCAAUUGCACCACUACCAGAUGGACCUGCGUUGUAUUAGCUAGUAGGUGAGGUAACGGCCCACCUAGGCGACGAUACAUAGCCGACCUGAGAGGGUGAGCGGCCACACUGGGACUGAGACACGGCCCAGACUCCUACGGGAGGCAGCAGUAGGGAAUCUUCGGCAAGGGACGAAAGUCUGACCGAGCAACGCCGCGGGAGGGAAGAAGGGUGUCGGAUCGUAAAGCUCGGUUGUAAGAGAAGAACGGGUGUGAGAGUGGAAAGUUCACACUGUGACGGUAUCUUACCAGAAAGGGACGGCUAACUACGUG